GGGGGCGUUCUGGUUUCGACGGGAUGUUCGACGCGCUGGUUGCACGUGGAGGUUGAACGGCUGGCCUCCUAAAAAGCCGCUCAAAACAAAUAAAUGCAGACUCUAACGAGCUCGCACUGGCCGCUUAAUUGACGACCACGCCUGAACCCCGACACCUGCUGAGGGGAACGGCGACUACCCAGCAGGCUGGAUGGGAAACCGGGGAACCGGGUUUCCCAUCGAGAUCAAACAGGUUCCUAGGGAGGACAACGCCGCAUGUGGGCCCAGUCCGACCGAAACUCCAGACCGCAUGCUAAACGUGUAGAUGCCUGUGCUGAUGAUGUUCCGGACAGGGGUUCGACUCCCCUCGCCUCCACCA
Molecule: transfer-messenger RNA, 358 nt
Filed under: Luteolibacter sp. SL250
Lineage: Bacteria; Pseudomonadati; Verrucomicrobiota; Verrucomicrobiia; Verrucomicrobiales; Verrucomicrobiaceae
Rfam family: transfer-messenger RNA
About the family: Bacterial tmRNA, also known as 10Sa RNA or SsrA, is named for its dual tRNA and mRNA-like properties. Its role is to liberate the mRNA from a stalled ribosome.
Source: RNAcentral